This 294-nucleotide unclassified non-coding RNA is filed under the name uncultured fungus. RNAcentral's name for it is "partial contains small subunit ribosomal RNA, internal transcribed spacer 1, and 5.8S ribosomal RNA". The stretch from base 1 to 73 matches the Rfam family "Eukaryotic small subunit ribosomal RNA", at positions 1759 to 1831 of the family's 1831-position model. The record is from RNAcentral. Lineage: Eukaryota; Fungi.
ACAAACUUGGUCAUUUAGAGGAAGUAAAAGUCGUAACAAGGUCUCCGUUGGUGAACCAGCGGAGGGAUCAUUACAGAGUUAACUUCUACUCUUAAACCCAUGUGAACUUACCACUUUGUUGCCUCGGCGGCAGAAAGGUCACUAGACUUCUUCCCUUUAGGGUUGUUGUUUAGGGGCUGGGCCGCCGGUGGACCAUCUAAACUCUUGUUUUACUUGAAUCUCUGAGGAAAUUUAUAAUGAAUCAAAACUUUCAACAACGGAUCUCUUGGUUCUGGCAUCGAUGAAGAACGCAGC